GAACUAUCGGAACGCGAGCUAUUUGUCAUUUCCUUCGUGGUUCUCCCGAGAUUGGGCCUUGCCUUUAGCUGUUCGUCGUUAGCAUUGCUAAGCGCUCGGAGUUCUAGUCAUUCUUGCGUUGACAAACUCGAAACAGUUGCCUUAAUAUACCUCGUGUUGAAGAUAUUUGACAUUUAAACUGUUAAAAGAUGAGCGGUAAGUCUAAAAUUUCGCGACUUUUAUAGUACAAAGGAAAUAUUUGAAGAUCGUAUGUUGACAUGUAUUUUUCUUGCUUGUAGAUCGACGGGCAAAACGUGGUGGUGAUGAUGAUG
This is a non-coding RNA of Paramuricea clavata, 311 nucleotides long. NCBI's taxonomy places the organism in Eukaryota, Metazoa, Cnidaria, Anthozoa, Malacalcyonacea, Plexauridae. The record is from the annotation of a GenBank genome assembly.